Molecule: ribosomal RNA, 757 nt
Filed under: uncultured bacterium
Lineage: Bacteria
Description: bacterial SSU rRNA
Rfam family: Bacterial small subunit ribosomal RNA
Source: RNAcentral
AAGUCGAACGAAAGUUUUUAACUUUAGUAGCGAACGGGUGCGUAAUACAUGAGAAUCUGCCCUUAGGAGAAGAAUAACUGUUGGAAACGACUGCUAAAUCUUCAUAUGCCGAGAGGCGAAAUAAUUUCGAUUGCCUAAGGAUGAGCUCAUGCCUGAUUAGCUAGUUGGUAAGGUAAUUGCUUACCAAGGCCACGAUCAGUAGCUGGUUUGAGAGAACGAUCAGCCACACUGGGACUGAGACACGGCCCAGACUCCUCCGGGAGGCAGCAGUGAGGAAUUUUCCGCAAUGGGCGAAAGCCUGACGGAGCAAUACCGCGUGAGGGAUGAAGGAUUUUGGUCUGUAAACCUCUUUUCUCAAGAAAGAAGUUCUGACGGUACUUGAGGAAUAAGCAUCGGCUAACUCCGUACCUGCAGCCGCGGUAAUACGGGGGAUGCAAGCGUUAUCCGGAAUCAUUGGGCGUAAAGCGCCUGUAGGUUGUUUAAUAAGUCUGUUGUUAAAGACUAGGGCUCAACCCUAGAAAAGCAAUGGAUACUACUAGACUAGAGUAUGGCAGGGGUAGAGGGAAUUUCUAGUGUAGCGGUGAAAUGCGUAGAUAUUAGAAAGAACACCGGUGGCGAAAGCGCUCUACUGGACCAUUACUGAAUACUCAGAGGCGAAAGCUAGGGUAGCAAAAGGGGAUUAGAUACCCCCUGUAGUCCUAGCCCGUAAACGAUGGGAUACUACAUGUUUGUAUUUAUUUUACAGUAUGGUAGCUAA